AAUACCUAGGUUUCCGUGUCCAACAUUUGACCACCCGUCUUAUUUGAAAAAAAUAUAAAACAAAUUAAAAAAAUAAGUCACGCAUAAAGUAUUAAUUAUGUUUUAUCAUCUAACAACAAUAAAAAUACUAAUUAUAAAAAAAAUUUAUAUAAGACAUACAGUCAAACGUUGAACACGGAAACCCAGGGUUUGUCUUUUU
Molecule: microRNA precursor, 199 nt
Filed under: Oryza sativa Japonica Group (Japanese rice)
Lineage: Eukaryota; Viridiplantae; Streptophyta; Magnoliopsida; Poales; Poaceae
Description: MIR812 microRNA precursor family
Rfam family: MIR812 microRNA precursor family
Source: Rfam by way of RNAcentral